GCGCCUUAGAUCUGUUCGACUCAGGUGUCACUCGCUAGUCACGGCGGCCCAUCCCACGCUCGCAGGCAACCCGACCUCUCGCCGCGCCACCCUACCACCACGCCACCUUCCUCCUACCACCUCGUCACGCCGCGCAUCCUCUUCCCCCCUCCCCGCACCCUGCUAGGUACGUCGCAUCUUCACAAUUCUCCCAUCAGAAGAUUACUUGUUUGCAACAUCAGAACAAAAAUCUAUUGCGACAUCCGAACAAAGCAACUACAACAAUAGAAUAAAGCUACUGAAAUGCCAGAUGCAAGAUUAGAAAAAACUAAUUCAACAAAGAAGUAUCACUUAUUGCAACACCAGAACAAGGCUAUUGCAACAAAAAGAACAAAGCCCAAUGCGAGAAAUCAACAUCAGAGAAAAAAAUACUAAUGCAACCAAGAAAAAUUACUUGAUACAACAACAAAAUAAGGCUACGAAAACAAUAAAAACAAAAAUGCAAUGCGAGAUGCAACAUCAGAGAAAAGAGACUAAUGCAACAAAGAAAUAUUACUUGUUACAACAGCAAAACAAGGCUACUUCAACAAUAAAACAAAGCGCAAA
This 585-nucleotide long non-coding RNA is filed under the name Sorghum bicolor (sorghum). Its description in RNAcentral is "long non-coding RNA (SBIC_LNC013152)". The record is from RNAcentral. Lineage: Eukaryota; Viridiplantae; Streptophyta; Magnoliopsida; Poales; Poaceae.